CGCGUUGGCCCAAUUGAUUGAUGGUGCUUGCACCUGAUUGAUUUUGGUCGCCAACGAGUGGCGGACGGGUGAGUAACACGUAGGUAACCUGCCCAGAAGCGGGGGACAACAUUUGGAAACAGAUGCUAAUACCGCAUAACAACGUUGUUCGCAUGAACAACGCUUAAAAGAUGGCUUCUCGCUAUCACUUCUGGAUGGACCUGCGGUGCAUUAGCUUGUUGGUGGGGUAAUGGCCUACCAAGGCGAUGAUGCAUAGCCGAGUUGAGAGACUGAUCGGCCACAAUGGGACUGAGACACGGCCCAUACUCCUACGGGAGGCAGCAGUAGGGAAUCUUCCACAAUGGGCGCAAGCCUGAUGGAGCAACACCGCGUGAGUGAAGAAGGGUUUCGGCUCGUAAAGCUCUGUUGUUAAAGAAGAACACGUAUGAGAGUAACUGUUCAUACGUUGACGGUAUUUAACCAGAAAGUCACGGCUAACUACGUGCCAGCAGCCGCGGUAAUACGUAGGUGGCAAGCGUUAUCCGGAUUUAUUGGGCGUAAAGAGAGUGCAGGCGGUUUUCUAAGUCUGAUGUGAAAGCCUUCGGCUUAACCGGAGAAGUGCAUCGGAAACUGGAUAACUUGAGUGCAGAAGAGGGUAGUGGAACUCCAUGUGUAGCGGUGGAAUGCGUAGAUAUAUGGAAGAACACCAGUGGCGAAGGCGGCUACCUGGUCUGCAACUGACGCUGAGACUCGAAAGCAUGGGUAGCGAACAGGAUUAGAUACCCUGGUAGUCCAUGCCGUAAACGAUGAGUGCUAGGUGUUGGAGGGUUUCCGCCCUUCAGUGCCGGAGCUAACGCAUUAAGCACUCCGCCUGGGGAGUACGACCGCAAGGUUGAAACUCAAAGGAAUUGACGGGG
Molecule: ribosomal RNA, 896 nt
Filed under: Limosilactobacillus fermentum
Lineage: Bacteria; Bacillati; Bacillota; Bacilli; Lactobacillales; Lactobacillaceae
Description: bacterial SSU rRNA
Rfam family: Bacterial small subunit ribosomal RNA
Source: RNAcentral